GCCCGGGUAGCUCAGUCGGUAGAGCAGAGGAUUGAAAAUCCUCGUGUCGGCGGUUCGAUUCCGUCCCCGGGCACCA
RNAcentral lists this transfer RNA (76 nucleotides) under Desulfuromonadaceae bacterium. RNAcentral's name for it is "tRNA-Phe". It matches the Rfam family "tRNA". From Rfam's summary of the family: Transfer RNA (tRNA) molecules are approximately 80 nucleotides in length. Their secondary structure includes four short double-helical elements and three loops (D, anti-codon, and T loops). Lineage: Bacteria; Pseudomonadati; Thermodesulfobacteriota; Desulfuromonadia; Desulfuromonadales; Desulfuromonadaceae. RNAcentral also lists the same sequence under 2 other names. The record is from RNAcentral.